AACGAUUCGUUUUAUUUUCCGUACUUCCUACCUUUCUCUCUCGUCUCUCUCGUCUCUAGAAAUCCCCUCGCAGCGGUCAUCCCACGCCGCCGCCGCCGCCGCCGCCGCCAGAGUCUCGGUUGCCAGCUCCCCACAUGUCUCCGCCUCCCUGGAAGUCCGGAUCACGCCGGCUCUCCUCACCCCCGAGGUCUCAUCUCUCCCGGACCUGGAGAUCCUCUCCAAUCCAGAGUUCCUCGUAGAGGGCACCCGCUCACACCGGCGGGGGGAGAGAAGGUAGGCUGCCCCUGCUUGCGGAAGCAUCGGAGUUACGUCUCACGUUCGGCGCCGGUGGAGGAGACAGCCAGCGCGGGAACAAUGGAUGUGGAACAGCUGCUGUCGUGGUCCUCAUCCGGCCUUGAUUUCAAGAUACGGUAAUAAUUAGCUUGCUCCCUAAUUACCUCUGCUGCUAGCCCGAUAAAAUUAGAAGUAAUACAUGUAUGCUUGGUCUUUAUUUACAGAGAAGUAAAUCGCAUGGUUUGCUGGCACUGCUGCUUCUGUUUGUUUUGUGUUGCGUUGACAGGAAGAAGUUUCUCUUCUUGGUCUGUCAGCAAUAAGGUCAUCUAAUAUUAGUAUGAAGUUUAUCUUGUGUGGCUUGAUCUGACAAUUAUCGGUGCCUUUGUCACACAUGGUGCCGAUAGCAGUAACGACGCUUAGUAGUUGCAGGAAGUCGGAGUGAUUUUAUGACCAUGCCCUUGGCCUGCCCCAUGUGGUGUGAAUUGAACUAGGAUGAGGAGUGACAAAUUGAAGUGAAUUUGUUGUGCUGUAGUCAAGAGGAUUUGAUUGUCUAUUUUCUUCACAACGAGUUACCCUUAAUUGUCAAAAAAAAGAAAAACAGUUACCCUUGGUUCUGUUUGUGCUGUGUACCUGUGUCAUCUGUUAUUCAGUGUAUUUUAUUCAGUUUUACAUCUAUUAAUUUGUAUCUUGAUAGAGAUGCAUUGAAUUCGCAAGUAGUUUUAGUGUUUUUCUAGAUAAUUGAUCCAAGCAGUAAAUUUGGAUUAAGAUUUACUUACUAAACUGGAGGCAGCAUUGUCCAUUGAUAAACAAAUAAACAAAGGAAAAAAGGUUCAGUGUGAACCCAAGCAUAAAAUUGCAAACGUGAUACGUACAUUAACUGUCAAAGAGACACGCUUGGUCGCCUGGGCUUCUGAUUAGUUUCAUAUUGCGCAUCUUUAAGUCUUUGGAUUUCUGAAAGCUUAAGACCAUAUACAGUCCACUUAAGCUUACCAUUUCACAGUAGGUUAUUUUUGGCCAAUUGGCCAAUUUCAUUAUUCUUAAGCUUAAUUUAGAGCUUUCUAUGGCUUCUUUUCGGCAGCAAUAGCAUGUGCUUGCAAUCUGCCAAUCACAUCAUCCUUCACCUUAAGAGCAUCUACACUCCAUUGAAGCUUUUUAGUUGUCUGUAGCUGUUGCGUUGCACUACCAGCAGCUUCUGCUCGCGAUCUACCAUCUGAAGUGGGAUGCAUUGCAUUUUCCCAACAGAAUUUACGGUAGCACCAAGCAGGGUUGCGUCCAUCAUCCUCAUCAUGUCUGAUCUAGGCCGCCAGAGACCCCGAUCUAUAGGAGCGCUGUACACUGAAUUGGUCAUGCGAAAAGACACAAUAGUAGAUCAUACAAUCUACGCCAUGGAGCCGCUGGUGGGGCUCGACGAGGACGAGCGCUAGGAGGUGUGCAUGAUGCCCAAACGUGGCGUCGAGGCCUUCCGCGUCCGCACCCGAGCCGCAUCACUGCCAAGCUGCUACAAGCAUACAAGGCCUUCCGUGUUCAAGCUGAAAAGGCAAGAAGCUCAUUAUUAACAUGGAUAAAAAAAGGUGGAACGCCUUCUUCUGUAGAAGUACACAAUGGUUGGCUGAAGAUUUGGAGUGCUAAAGUUCCAAAAAAGGGGCCUGGAGGAAGCUAUAAGUAAUAUGUGAUUUCUCGUGGCCACUUUUCCCUAAAAAGGGCAGGUUGCCUGGUGAUCUAAAAUUGCCGAUCAGAAAUGUUCUUCAUCGAAGCCCAUUCCAAUCGCCAACAAUUCUGUUUGCACACUCAGGUUACUGCUUUUCUGUGGUGAUUUAUUAAACAUACUUUGGCUUAUGAUCCCCUUUGACGUACACUUGUGCCCUCAACUACACAUUACUUUCAGUUUGCCAAACACUGUAGUAGGUAAUGAACUAUAGAAAGCGGAUUGUUGAGUUUGCCAAGCAUAAUGGCGCACCCAAUUUUGGCAAAUCACCUGAAGAGUAUAUCAAGCAAAGAUGCUUUGAGAUUUUCACAUGAUUAUAUGAGGUUACCAUAAACUCCUGUAUUGCCACAAUAGCUUCUUUUAAUGCAAUAGGGAAUUAUCUUUUUUGUAUCAGGUAAAUAGUUCCUUUCUCACACUUUUUUCAGACCGAGAUCAUUUACUGCUGCUGUGUGGUGUUCUAUGCUCUGCUGUGUUCCUUUUGCUUUUUUUUGGCUUCUUCUCGUUCUUCUUUGGCACCUACGCUUUGCUUGGGGAAACUUUGUACAUGUCAAUACAUAGAUUGGAAUUGAGAUUUGGAGCAAUUUUGUUUGUUUUCCUUUGUACUGAUGUUGCCAUUAUUUGUGUGAUGAUGCCAUUAUAUUGUACAAAGGGAAGAGACAGUUAGAGAGAUUGGAUAGAAAUUACUAACUAAUGUAUUUGUGUUGUAA
Molecule: long non-coding RNA, 2685 nt
Organism: Triticum aestivum (bread wheat)
Lineage: Eukaryota; Viridiplantae; Streptophyta; Magnoliopsida; Poales; Poaceae
Exons: 2
Source: RefSeq, a predicted model, not a curated record